GGAUUCUUCAACAUGCUCCGUCUCUGGCGUCUCAGAAGAGUUAGUGCACUAUUUGCAAGACUAGAGAAAGAUAGGCACUUCAACUACUUUUGGGUUCGAUGUGCAAAACUUAUUUGUGUGACUCUAUUUGCUGUGCACUGUGCUGGGUGCUUCUAUUAUCUUCUC
Long non-coding RNA from Zingiber officinale, 165 nucleotides. RefSeq lists it as uncharacterized. The transcript has 3 exons. NCBI's taxonomy places the organism in Eukaryota, Viridiplantae, Streptophyta, Magnoliopsida, Zingiberales, Zingiberaceae. The record is from RefSeq and is a predicted model, not a curated record.